RNAcentral lists this ribosomal RNA (467 nucleotides) under uncultured bacterium. RNAcentral describes it as "partial 16S ribosomal RNA". It matches the Rfam family "Bacterial small subunit ribosomal RNA", at positions 28 to 506 of the family's 1533-position model. The record is from RNAcentral.
GACGAACGCUGGCGGCGUGCUUAACACACGCAAGUCGAACGGAAAGGCCCUGCUUUUGUGGGGUGCUCGAGUGGCGAACGGGUGAGUAACACGUGAGUAACCUGCCCUUGACUUUGGGAUAACUUCAGGAAACUGGGGCUAAUACCGGAUAGGAGCUCCUGCUGCAUGGUGGGGGUUGGAAAGUUUCGGCGGUUGGGGAUGGACUCGCGGCUUAUCAGCUUGUUGGUGGGGUAGUGGCUUACCAAGGCUUUGACGGGUAGCCGGCCUGAGAGGGUGACCGGCCACAUUGGGACUGAGAUCCGGCCCAGACUCCUACGGGAGGCAGCAGUGGGGAAUAUUGCACAAUGGGCGGAAGCCUGAUGCAGCAACGCCGCGUGCGGGAUGACGGCCUUCGGGUUGUAAACCGCUUUCGCCUGUGACGAAGCGUGAGUGACGGUAAUGGGUAAAGAAGCACCGGCUAACUACGU